This is a long non-coding RNA of Rhododendron vialii, 1037 nucleotides long. RefSeq lists it as uncharacterized. The transcript has 2 exons. The record is from RefSeq and is a predicted model, not a curated record. Lineage: Eukaryota; Viridiplantae; Streptophyta; Magnoliopsida; Ericales; Ericaceae.
AAUGUGGAUUGUUAUUUUGAACUUUUGAGACAAGUAUGCUUUUGAAUUGACUUCCUAAGUUUUUUCUAUGCUUGACUCAAUAUAUAAUAAGAGACAAAAUAAACAUAUUAGUUCAUGAACUUCAGUCUAUCAAAUUAUGUUGAUUGUUCUCCCAAAAGCAUUUUAUGAUGGACUAGAAUGGUGCUUUAGUUGGUAUGUAUUUCUCUGUUAUUGGGAUUCAGGAAUGUGCUAUUUUUAGACUUACGAUUAAGAAGCAAUAUUGAAUACACAAAAGCAAAGUUCAAUGAGCUAUAAGUAUUCCCCAAAUUGUGGAAAUUGAUGCAAAGGCUGUCACAAUAUCCAACAAAAAAAAAAUUCUAGAAACACAACACUAAGUAAAAGAGAACUUCAUGCAUAAGCACGAAGAAGGUCACCAACAAGAGAGAAUCAUACUGUAGUAACUGUACUCACUUAGGAUUCAUGAGGCAGAGAAAGUUCAAAGUAGUAAUUAAACUGCUCCAACAUGGACACAGCAAUACAAAGAUACUAGCAGAAUCCUAUCAUAAUUCAUAUUCGAGCUAAACAGAUAACAACAUUAGAGUAGAAGAAAUGUAGUGUUGGAGUGACAAUUCUGGAGAGAUGCAAUCAGCCAAUCAUCAAGGACAAGGAUGAAUUGACUACAAAUUGAAGCAAAUCUCCCAAUUUGAUAAAAGUAAGUAAAACUAGGUGGAAACACCACACUAUAACUGUGAGUGAGGAAAAAAAAGGCAUCAGAAUUAUGGAUGAUAGAUAAAUUGACAAGAAGAUACCUCAAUAGUAGGGUUGCAUGCCGCCCUGGUACAUUCCACCAGGAGGAAAUCUAGGACCCGACGAUGGUUGGGGCAACUGCGUUGGAAAAGAAGAUGUUGACAACCCAUAGUUACCGCUCUCUGCGUAUCCCCCAGAAGGCAUCCCAAUAGAGCUUGGGGGCAACCUAUAUCCACCAUAUUCACCUGAACCAGACACACCAUAUUGUGAACCACCAUAACCACCACCUCCGCCCAAACCAGGUCCAUACC